This is a long non-coding RNA of Cephus cinctus (wheat stem sawfly), 690 nucleotides long. RefSeq lists it as uncharacterized. NCBI's taxonomy places the organism in Eukaryota, Metazoa, Arthropoda, Insecta, Hymenoptera, Cephidae. The record is from RefSeq and is a predicted model, not a curated record. The transcript has 2 exons.
UUAAUCCCACUAUCGUUAUGAAUAAAAAUUUCUAACCUAAACGUGAGAUAGCUGUCAAACUACGCAGUUUAAUUGCAAUAUUUACGAGAAAAUGCUGAUGAUCUUUUUAAUCUGUAUUUUGGCGAGCUUCGGGCGAGCAGCCGCAUCGAAUGGUUUUGAUUUCGGAGACACAUUGGCCCUAAUAUUGGGUCUCAUGAUAGGGAUCAUUGGAUUUUUCGCUUGUAUGGGAGCGUACGCUAGGAGAAAAAAUCGCUUUGAUUCACUCUAAUGUACAAUAUUUACAGUACCACUCACGGAACUCUGCUCUAUUGACAAUACCAAGGACAGUGUCACUUUCCUUAAGGAUUAUUGGAUAUUUGAAUACUUCACCAAGAGAAGCAUAUUUCAGGACUGUUUCUUGUCUUUUACUUACAAGUGCAACAUCAAAUUAUUUCUCUACAAUUUCUACAAGCGACUACAAGCUAGGUAUUCUAUUAGUGUGACCAAAAGAAUGCAAUGGCAGAAGAGAAAUCAAAGAACUAUAGCCCUGAGUCGGGAAGAACUGUAAUAUGUAUGACAAGUGAGAGUAAUUUUCCAUUGAAAUAAGAGUAAAAGAUUAUAAUUAAUAUUUCAUUAUCUAUUUUUAAUUUGCACAAAGCUCGAUUGUAAUUCAAUGAUAAUCAAUCGCUCAUAAUAAAUGGGUACCCCUUU